CACGUAGGGUGCGAGCGUUGUCCGGAAUUAUUGGGCGUAAAGAGCUCGUAGGCGGUGUGUCACGUCGGCCGUGAAAACCUGCAGCUUAACUGUGGGCGUGCGGUCGAUACGGGCAUCACUGGAGUUCGGCAGGGGAGACUGGAAUUCCUGGUGUAGCGGUGAAAUGCGCAGAUAUCGGGAGGAACACCGGUGGCGAAGGCGGUUCUCUGGGCCUGACCUGACGCUGAGGAGCGAAAGCGUGGGGAGCGAACAGG
RNAcentral lists this ribosomal RNA (254 nucleotides) under uncultured bacterium. Its description in RNAcentral is "partial 16S ribosomal RNA". It matches the Rfam family "Bacterial small subunit ribosomal RNA", at positions 524 to 776 of the family's 1533-position model. The record is from RNAcentral.